GAUGGACGCUGGCGGCGUGCCUAAUACAUGCAAGUCGAGCGAACGGACGAGAAGCUUGCUUCUCUGAUGUUAGCGGCGGACGGGUGAGUAACACGUGGAUAACCUACCUAUAAGACUGGGAUAACUUCGGGAAACCGGAGCUAAUACCGGAUAAUAUUUUGAACCGCAUGGUUCAAAAGUGAAAGACGGUCUUGCUGUCACUUAUAGAUGGAUCCGCGCUGCAUUGGCUAGUUGGUAAGGUAACGGCUUACCAAGGCAACGAUGCAUAGCCGACCUGAGAGGGUGAUCGGCCACACUGGAACUGAGACACGGUCCAGACUCCUACGGGAGGCAGCAGUAGGGAAUCUUCCGCAAUGGGCGAAAGCCUGACGGAGCAACGCCGCGUGAGUGAUGAAGGUCUUCGGAUCGUAAAACUCUGUUAUUAGGGAAGAACAUAUGUGUAAGUAACUGUGCACAUCUUGACGGUACCUAAUCAGAAAGCCACGGCUAACUACGUGCCAGCAGCCGCGGUAAUACGUAGGUGGCAAGCGUUAUCCGGAAUUAUUGGGCGUAAAGCGCGCGUAGGCGGUUUUUUAAGUCUGAUGUGAAAGCCCACGGCUCAACCGUGGAGGGUCAUUGGAAACUGGAAAACUUGAGUGCAGAAGAGGAAAGUGGAAUUCCAUGUGUAGCGGUGAAAUGCGCAGAGAUAUGGAGGAACACCAGUGGCGAAGGCGACUUUCUGGUCUGUAACUGACGCUGAUGUGCGAAAGCGUGGGGAUCAAACAGGAUUAGAUACCCUGGUAGUCCACGCCGUAAACGAUGAGUGCUAAGUGUUAGGGGGUUUCCGCCCCUUAGUGCUGCAGCUAACGCAUUAAGCACUCCGCCUGGGGAGUACGACCGCAAGGUUGAAACUCAAAGGAAUUGACGGGGACCCGCACAAGCGGUGGAGCAUGUGGUUUAAUUCGAAGCAACGCGAAGAACCUUACCAAAUCUUGACAUCCUUUGACAACUCUAGAGAUAGAGCCUUCCCCUUCGGGGGACAAAGUGACAGGUGGUGCAUGGUUGUCGUCAGCUCGUGUCGUGAGAUGUUGGGUUAAGUCCCGCAACGAGCGCAACCCUUAAGCUUAGUUGCCAUCAUUAAGUUGGGCACUCUAAGUUGACUGCCGGUGACAAACCGGAGGAAGGUGGGGAUGACGUCAAAUCAUCAUGCCCCUUAUGAUUUGGGCUACACACGUGCUACAAUGGACAAUACAAAGGGCAGCGAAACCGCGAGGUCAAGCAAAUCCCAUAAAGUUGUUCUCAGUUCGGAUUGUAGUCUGCAACUCGACUACAUGAAGCUGGAAUCGCUAGUAAUCGUAGAUCAGCAUGCUACGGUGAAUACGUUCCCGGGUCU
This 1372-nucleotide ribosomal RNA is filed under the name uncultured bacterium. Its description in RNAcentral is "bacterial SSU rRNA". It matches the Rfam family "Bacterial small subunit ribosomal RNA", at positions 28 to 1381 of the family's 1533-position model. The record is from RNAcentral.